AUGAACGCUGGCGGCGUGCCUCAUACAUGCAAGUCGAGCGAACGGACGAGAAGCUUGCUUCUCUGAUGUUAGCGGCGGACGGGUGAGUAACACGUGGAUAACCUACCUAUAAGACUGGGAUAACUUCGGGAAACCGGAGCUAAUACCGGAUAAUAUUUUGAACCGCAUGGUUCAAAAGUGAAAGACGGUCUUGCUGUCACUUAUAGAUGGAUCCGCGCUGCAUUAGCUAGUUGGUAAGGUAACGGCUUACCAAGGCAACGAUGCAUAGCCGACCUGAGAGGGUGAUCGGCCACACUGGAACUGAGACACGGUCCAGACUCCUACGGGAGGCAGCAGUAGGGAAUCUUCCGCAAUGGGCGAAAGCCUGACGGAGCAACGCCGCGUGAAUGAUGAAGGUCUUCGGAUCGUAAAACUCUGUUAUUAGGGAAGAACAUAUGUGUAAGUAACUGUGCACAUCUUGACGGUACCUAAUCAGAAAGCCACGGCUAACUACGUG
This 496-nucleotide ribosomal RNA is filed under the name uncultured bacterium. RNAcentral describes it as "partial 16S ribosomal RNA". It matches the Rfam family "Bacterial small subunit ribosomal RNA", at positions 29 to 507 of the family's 1533-position model. The record is from RNAcentral.